Molecule: ribosomal RNA, 254 nt
Filed under: uncultured bacterium
Lineage: Bacteria
Description: partial 16S ribosomal RNA
Rfam family: Bacterial small subunit ribosomal RNA
Source: RNAcentral
UACGGGGGGGGCAAGCGUUGUUCGGAAUUACUGGGCGUAAAGGGCUUGUAGGUGGCCAACUAAGUCAGACGUGAAAUCCCUCGGCUUAACCGGGGAACUGCGUCUGAUACUGGAUGGCUUGAGGUUGGGAGAGGGAUGCGGAAUUCCAGGUGUAGCGGUGAAAUGCGUAGAUAUCUGGAGGAACACCGGUGGCGAAGGCGGCAUCCUGGACCAAUUCUGACGCUGAGUGAGCGAAAGCCAGGGGAGCAAACGGG